RNAcentral lists this ribosomal RNA (239 nucleotides) under uncultured bacterium. Its description in RNAcentral is "partial 16S ribosomal RNA". It matches the Rfam family "Bacterial small subunit ribosomal RNA", at positions 118 to 354 of the family's 1533-position model. The record is from RNAcentral.
UGGGCAAUCUGCCCUUCUCUUCGGAAUAAGCGUGGGAAACCGCGUCUAAUGGCCGAAUACGACCUCCUUUCGCAUGAUCGGAGGUGGAAAGCUCCGGCGGAGAAGGAUGAGCUCGCGGCCUAUCAGCUAGUUGGUGUGGGUAAUGGCCCACCAAGGCGACGACGGGUAGCCGGCCUGAGAGGGUGACCGGCCACACUGGGACUGAGACACGGCCCAGACUCCGUACGGGAGGCAGCAGG